AAGUGGGGACGACCCCACCGCUCAACCUUAUAUUGAGGACGACCUCG
RNAcentral lists this non-coding RNA (47 nucleotides) under Paraglaciecola hydrolytica. Its description in RNAcentral is "Paraglaciecola sp. S66 Guanidine-II riboswitch aptamer (mini-ykkC)". It matches the Rfam family "Guanidine-II riboswitch aptamer (mini-ykkC)". From Rfam's summary of the family: Simpler in structure and has fewer highly conserved nucleotide positions than the ykkC-yxkD leader. Despite this each of its two stem-loop structures directly bind free guanidine. Therefore, mini-ykkC RNA motif represents a distinct class of guanidine-sensing RNAs. RNAcentral also lists the same sequence under 1 other name. The record is from Rfam by way of RNAcentral. Lineage: Bacteria; Pseudomonadati; Pseudomonadota; Gammaproteobacteria; Alteromonadales; Alteromonadaceae.